RNAcentral lists this ribosomal RNA (253 nucleotides) under uncultured bacterium. Its description in RNAcentral is "partial 16S ribosomal RNA". It matches the Rfam family "Bacterial small subunit ribosomal RNA", at positions 524 to 776 of the family's 1533-position model. The record is from RNAcentral.
GACAGAGGGUGCAAACGUUGUUCGGAUUUACUGGGCGUAAAGCGCGUGUAGGCGGCCUUGCAAGUCGGAUGUGAGAGCCCACGGCUCAACCGUGGAAGUGCAUCCGAAACUGCAUAGCUUGAGUCUCGGAGAGGAAGGUGGAAUGCUUGGUGUAGAGGUGAAAUUCGUAGAUAUCAAGCAGAACACCUGCGGCGAAGGCGGCCUUCUGGACGAUGACUGACGCUGAGACGCGAAAGCGUGGGGAGCAAACAGG